CCUACGGGAGGCAGCAGUGGGGAAUAUUGGGCAAUGGGCGCAAGCCUGACCCAGCAACGCCGCGUGAAGGAAGAAGGCUUUCGGGUUGUAAACUUCUUUUGUCAGGGACGAAGCAAGUGACGGUACCUGACGAAUAAGCCACGGCUAACUACGUGCCAGCAGCCGCGGUAAUACGUAGGUGGCAAGCGUUAUCCGGAUUUACUGGGUGUAAAGGGCGUGUAGGCGGGGAAGCAAGUCAGAUGUGAAAACCACGGGCUCAACCUGUGGCCUGCAUUUGAAACUGUUUUUCUUGAGUGCUGGGGAGGCAAUCGGAAUUCCGUGUGUAGCGGUGAAAUGCGUAGAUAUACGGAGGAACACCAGUGGCGAAGGCGGAUUGCUGGACAGUAACUGACGCUGAGGCGCGAAAGCGUGGGGAGCAAACAGGAUUAGAUACCCCUGUAGUC
Molecule: ribosomal RNA, 443 nt
Filed under: uncultured bacterium
Lineage: Bacteria
Description: partial 16S ribosomal RNA
Rfam family: Bacterial small subunit ribosomal RNA
Source: RNAcentral